UAGUGUCCAGAAUUAUCACUGGUACAGGAGCAUAUUUAUGUUAAUUUCUUAUUUUGGAUAUUCCUGAACAUUGAAGAUUUUGAAGCUAGUACAAAUUUGAACCACACACUUGUUCAUGAAACAGGCUCAGAGUACAAAUUCUUCAGGAACUCAAGCAGAGACAGGCUAUGAAAUGAUGAUGGCCAACCAUGGAUAGAAGCCAGUGGGGCUUUCUACUCUGCUUAAACUGUUCCCAUUCCAAUGUGCAAAACACUGCCCAAGAGUUUCCUUGUGGGAGACUGACAGACAGAAAAGAAGAAUGCAUUGUGUUCUCAGAGAACCCCAGAUAGGAAAAGAUUGGAGCUGCUGAGCUGAGAGCACUGAGAACUGAGAGUACUCAAUCUCUUAUGUCCUUUUGGAGGUACAGCAUGGGAGAAAUGGGGUCACCUGGUAGUAG
Molecule: long non-coding RNA, 436 nt
Filed under: Pongo abelii (Sumatran orangutan)
Lineage: Eukaryota; Metazoa; Chordata; Mammalia; Primates; Hominidae
Description: lincRNA
Source: RNAcentral